Molecule: long non-coding RNA, 279 nt
Filed under: Cavia porcellus (domestic guinea pig)
Lineage: Eukaryota; Metazoa; Chordata; Mammalia; Rodentia; Caviidae
Description: lncRNA (ENSCPOG00000032661.1)
Source: RNAcentral
CAUGGACAUCACGGGCAGACAGUCAGUCAAGACAUGCUGAAUUGAAUGGAACAGCAAGAAAAUGGGUAUUAGAAAUCUACUUUAUCCAAUAUCUGCAAAAUUAAUUUGACGGAGGUUCUGAAUUCCUUACAGGCCAUUCUUCCUCUUUUCCACCCAUUUUGGGCUGCAAGCACUGAGUUGGAGACACAAUAUUUUAAAUGUGGAAGUGGAAAAGAGAAGUAGCAAGUGCUGGGGCCAGAGCAUUACUCUAAAGUCCUUGUGUUCCCUGCUCUGCCUCGC